RNAcentral lists this ribosomal RNA (872 nucleotides) under Bifidobacterium pseudocatenulatum. RNAcentral's name for it is "bacterial SSU rRNA". It matches the Rfam family "Bacterial small subunit ribosomal RNA", at positions 1 to 846 of the family's 1533-position model. The record is from RNAcentral. Lineage: Bacteria; Bacillati; Actinomycetota; Actinomycetes; Bifidobacteriales; Bifidobacteriaceae.
UAUGAGAGUUUGAUCCUGGCUCAGGACGAACGCUGGCGGCGUGCCUAAUACAUGCAAGUCGUACGCUUCUUUUUCCACCGGAGCUUGCUCCACCGGAAAAAGAAGAGUGGCGAACGGGUGAGUAACACGUGGGUAACCUGCCCAUCAGAAGGGGAUAACACUUGGAAACAGGUGCUAAUACCGUAUAACAAUCGAAACCGCAUGGUUUUGAUUUGAAAGGCGCUUUCGGGUGUCGCUGAUGGAUGGACCCGCGGUGCAUUAGCUAGUUGGUGAGGUAACGGCUCACCAAGGCUACGAUGCAUAGCCGACCUGAGAGGGUGAUCGGCCACAUUGGGACUGAGACACGGCCCAAACUCCUACGGGAGGCAGCAGUAGGGAAUCUUCGGCAAUGGACGAAAGUCUGACCGAGCAACGCCGCGUGAGUGAAGAAGGUUUUCGGAUCGUAAAACUCUGUUGUUAGAGAAGAACAAGGAUGAGAGUAACUGUUCAUCCCUUGACGGUAUCUAACCAGAAAGCCACGGCUAACUACGUGCCAGCAGCCGCGGUAAUACGUAGGUGGCAAGCGUUGUCCGGAUUUAUUGGGCGUAAAGCGAGCGCAGGCGGUUUCUUAAGUCUGAUGUGAAAGCCCCCGGCUCAACCGGGGAGGGUCAUUGGAAACUGGGAGACUUGAGUGCAGAAGAGGAGAGUGGAAUUCCAUGUGUAGCGGUGAAAUGCGUAGAUAUAUGGAGGAACACCAGUGGCGAAGGCGGCUCUCUGGUCUGUAACUGACGCUGAGGCUCGAAAGCGUGGGGAGCAAACAGGAUUAGAUACCCUGGUAGUCCACGCCGUAAACGAUGAGUGCUAAGUGAUGGAGGGUUUCCGCACUUCAGUGC